UUAUCCUAACGAAGACGUUAAGUUACACAGCUGAGAUAGCCUACUGUGAUUGUCUGAAAUUAGGACUGAAGAGUUAGUAGUUGAUCAGUUGAUUAUGUAACCAGGUACUUCAAGGUUGUGGCUUUCUGCAGACCUCAGCUGAGGUGCCGACAGCCACUCCAGUUGAAGUCAUUCGCAGAUUUAAACUUUGCAGUUACCAGUGCAACGUGCCAAAACGAGGCUACUAUAAUCAGCGCUCUGACCGGGGACUCCUAACAUCAACUCUGCAAUUUAUCCUCAGCAAGUGUGCAGACUGCACGCAGCAGUGCGCUGCACAGCCUUUGUGUCUCUGUCGCUCUGCAACUCUCGCAAGGUUCCAUCUGAAAGUGUGUGAGUGGCAGAGUGUGUGUGCGUUUGCGUACAUGCCUCUGUGUGUGUAUAUGUGUCACAAUGAAGCACCAGUCUAUCUCCCGAUGGCUGAGCCAGCUGGGACUGCCACAAUACUGCCCAGCGUUGGAGCAGGAAUAUGAUGGUGUCGAGGACCUGCUCCACAUCUCAGAGUAUGACCUCUUGGAGCUCGGAGUCCACAAUCACCUUCACCGCCUGCACCUUCUCA
Perca flavescens (yellow perch) is the source of this 595-nucleotide long non-coding RNA. RefSeq lists it as uncharacterized. NCBI's taxonomy places the organism in Eukaryota, Metazoa, Chordata, Actinopteri, Perciformes, Percidae. The transcript has 4 exons. The record is from RefSeq and is a predicted model, not a curated record.